AUUGAACGCUGGCGGCAGGCUUAACACAUGCAAGUCGAGCGGAGACUUCGGUCUUAGCGGCGAACGGGUGAGUAAUACCUAGGAAUCUGCCCAUUAGCGGGGGACAACGUUUCGAAAGGAACGCUAAUACCGCAUACGCCCUACGGGGAAAGGACAGGGGAGUCUUUUGUACCUUGCACUAAUGGAUGAGCCUAGGCCGGAUUAGCUAGUUGGUAGGGUAAAGGCCUACCAAGGCGACGAUCUGUAGCUGGUCUGAGAGGAUGACCAGCCACACUGGAACUGAGACACGGUCCAGACUCCUACGGGAGGCAGCAGUGGGGAAUAUUGGACAAUGGGCGCAAGCCUGAUCCAGCCAUGCCGCGUGUGUGAAGAAGG
This 375-nucleotide ribosomal RNA is filed under the name uncultured bacterium. Its description in RNAcentral is "bacterial SSU rRNA". It matches the Rfam family "Bacterial small subunit ribosomal RNA", at positions 30 to 414 of the family's 1533-position model. The record is from RNAcentral.